ACUCCUACGGGAGGCAGCAGUGGGGAAUCUUGCGCAAUGGGCGAAAGCCUGACGCAGCAACGCCGCGUGUGUGAUGAAGGUCUUCGGAUCGUAAAGCACUGUCGCGAGGGACGAAUAAGGGCCGGAAUAACAAGCCGGUUCGAUGACGGUACCUCGAAAGGAAGCACCGGCUAACUCUGUGCCAGCAGCCGCGGUAAUACAGAGGGUGCGAGCGUUGUUCGGAAUUAUUGGGCGUAAAGCGCGUGUAGGCGGCUUUGUAAGUCAGGUGUGAAAGCCCUCGGCUUAACCGAGGAAGUGCGCCUGAAACUGCAGAGCUUGAGUACCGGAGAGGGCGGUGGAAUUCCCGGUGUAGAGGUGAAAUUCGUAGAUAUCGGGAGGAACACCAGCGGCGAAGGCGACCGCCUGGACGGCUACUGACGCUGAGACGCGAAAGCGUGGGGAGCAAACAGGAUUAGAUACCCUGGUAGUCCACGCUGUAAACGAUGAGCGCUAGGUGUUGUGGGUGUUGACCCCUGCAGUGCCGCAGCUAACGCAUUAAGCGCUCCGCCUGGGAAGUACGGCCGCAAGGCUAAAACUCAAAUGAAUUGACGG
RNAcentral lists this ribosomal RNA (591 nucleotides) under uncultured Myxococcales bacterium. RNAcentral's name for it is "bacterial SSU rRNA". It matches the Rfam family "Bacterial small subunit ribosomal RNA", at positions 335 to 916 of the family's 1533-position model. Lineage: Bacteria; Pseudomonadati; Myxococcota; Myxococcia; Myxococcales. The record is from RNAcentral.